UACGUAGGAGACGAGCGUUGUCCGGAGUUACUGGGCGUAAAGGGUGCGCAGGUGGCCGCGCGCGUGGGGAGUGAAAUCGCCUGGCUUAACUGGGCGGGGGCUUUCCAGACGGCGUGGCUUGAGCCACAGAGGGGGGCGUGGAAUUCCUGGUGUAGCGGUGAAAUGCGCAGAUAUCAGGAAGAACACCCGUGGCUAAGGCGGCUCUCUAGUACGGUACUGACGCUGAGACGCGAAAGCGUGGGGAGCGAACAGG
Molecule: ribosomal RNA, 253 nt
Filed under: uncultured bacterium
Lineage: Bacteria
Description: partial 16S ribosomal RNA
Rfam family: Bacterial small subunit ribosomal RNA
Source: RNAcentral